GACGAACGCUGGCGGCGUGCCUAAUACAUGCAAGUCGAGCGAGCGGAACUAACAGAUUUACUUCGGUAAUGACGUUAGGAAAGCGAGCGGCGGAUGGGUGAGUAACACGUGGGGAACCUGCCCCAUAGUCUGGGAUACCACUUGGAAACAGGUGCUAAUACCGGAUAAGAAAGCAGAUCGCAUGAUCAGCUUUUAAAAGGCGGCGUAAGCUGUCGCUAUGGGAUGGCCCCGCGGUGCAUUAGCUAGUUGGUAAGGUAAAGGCUUACCAAGGCGAUGAUGCAUAGCCGAGUUGAGAGACUGAUCGGCCACAUUGGGACUGAGACACGGCCCAAACUCCUACGGGAGGCAGCAGUAGGGAAUCUUCCACAAUGGACGCAAGUCUGAUGGAGCAACGCCGCGUGAGUGAAGAAGGUUUUCGGAUCGUAAAGCUCUGUUGUUGGUGAAGAAGGAUAGAGGUAGUAACUGGCCUUUAUUUGACGGUAAUCAACCAGAAAGUCACGGCUAACUACGUGCCAGCAGCCGCGGUAAUACGUAGGUGGCAAGCGUUGUCCGGAUUUAUUGGGCGUAAAGCGAGCGCAGGCGGAAGAAUAAGUCUGAUGUGAAAGCCCUCGGCUUAACCGAGGAACUGCAUCGGAAACUGUUUUUCUUGAGUGCAGAAGAGGAGAGUGGAACUCCAUAUGUAGCGGUGGAAUGCGUAGAUAUAUGGAAGAACACCAGUGGCGAAGGCGGCUCUCUGGUCUGCAACUGACGCUGAGGCUCGAAAGCAUGGGUAGCGAACAGG
This 781-nucleotide ribosomal RNA is filed under the name uncultured Lactobacillus sp. RNAcentral describes it as "bacterial SSU rRNA". It matches the Rfam family "Bacterial small subunit ribosomal RNA", at positions 28 to 776 of the family's 1533-position model. The record is from RNAcentral. Lineage: Bacteria; Bacillati; Bacillota; Bacilli; Lactobacillales; Lactobacillaceae.